Molecule: ribosomal RNA, 376 nt
Filed under: uncultured organism
Description: bacterial SSU rRNA
Rfam family: Bacterial small subunit ribosomal RNA
Source: RNAcentral
CAGAGGGUGCAAGCGUUAAUCGGAUUUACUGGGCGUAAAGCGUGUGUAGGUGGCUAAUCUAAGUCGGUUGUGAAAGCCCUGGGCUCAACCUGGGAAUUGCAGUCGAUACUGGAAAGCUCGAGUUCGGUAGAGGGUGACGGAAUUCCCGGUGUAGCGGUGAAAUGCGUAGAUAUCGGGAGGAACAUCGAUGGCGAAGGCAAUCACCUGGGCCUGGAACUGACACUGUGACACGAAAGCGUGGGUAGCGAAACAGGAUUACGAUACCCUGGUAGUCCACGCCGUAAACGAUGGGAACCUGACGUCGGUUUGCUCUGCGAAUCGGUGUCGUAGCUAACGCGCUAAGUUCCCCGCCUGGGGAGUACGGCCGCAAGGUUGA